CCCCUCUCAGGAUGGUACCUGGAGAGUUUCCAGUAGUCUACCAGUCUCGUCUAUGGGAGGGAAAGUCAAGCAGAGGCAUACCCACUCCAUUCCUAGCUUGGCCAGUGACUAGUGAGUGGAAGGCAAUCUGCUACAAGU
Small nucleolar RNA from Ornithorhynchus anatinus (platypus), 138 nucleotides. The record is from RefSeq and is a predicted model, not a curated record. Lineage: Eukaryota; Metazoa; Chordata; Mammalia; Monotremata; Ornithorhynchidae.